CGGGGUUUAAAAAAAAAAAUCUAAAGAACAGCAAAUAAACUCUGACAUUAGCAAAUUUGAACUGGCCAAAUCAGUGGACACUGUAAUCUAUGAGACUUUGGGAGUUCCAAGAAUAGGACAUAUGAACAUAAGGCAUUUCAACUUUCAACUCUCUAAAACUGCCUGCAGUGCCACUUAACAAUAAUAAUCAAAACAUGCAAUAGAAGAGACACCCAUAGCUUUUCUCAUAGCACAUCUUCAUUCUGGCCUAUACCUGACGUGCUAUGAGAAAAGCUAUG
This 278-nucleotide unclassified non-coding RNA is filed under the name Hevea brasiliensis (rubber tree). The record is from RNAcentral. Lineage: Eukaryota; Viridiplantae; Streptophyta; Magnoliopsida; Malpighiales; Euphorbiaceae.